Molecule: long non-coding RNA, 273 nt
Organism: Gopherus flavomarginatus (Mexican gopher tortoise)
Lineage: Eukaryota; Metazoa; Chordata; Testudines; Testudinidae
Exons: 3
Source: RefSeq, a predicted model, not a curated record
GGGAGCCAGGACUCCUGGGUUCUCUCCCUGGCUCUGGAGGAGAGUGGGAGCUGGGGGGUUAGAGCAGGGGGGCUGGGAGCCAGGACUCCUGGGUUCUCUCCCUGGCUCUGGGAGGGGAUGGGGGCUGGUGGGUUAGAGCAGGGGGGGCUGGGAGCCAGGACUCCUGGGUUCUCUCCCCGGCACUGGGAGGGGAUAGAGGCUGGUGGGUUAGAGCAGGGGGGGCUGGGAGCCAGGACUCCUGGGUUCUCUCCCCGGCUCUGGGAGGGGAUUUGG